This 253-nucleotide ribosomal RNA is filed under the name uncultured bacterium. RNAcentral's name for it is "partial 16S ribosomal RNA". It matches the Rfam family "Bacterial small subunit ribosomal RNA", at positions 524 to 776 of the family's 1533-position model. The record is from RNAcentral.
UACAGAGGCCUCGAGCGUUAGGCGGAAUCACUGGGCUUAAAGCGUGUGUAGGCGGACUUCUAAGUACCUUGUGAAAUCCCACGGCUCACCCGUGGAACUGCUUGGUAUACUGGUUGUCUUGAGCCUUCUAGGGGCGAGUGGAACAAAUGGUGGAGCGGUGAAAUGCGUAGAUAUCAUUUGGAACGCCAAUGGUGAAAACAACUCGCUGGGGAAGUGCUGACGCUGAGACACGAAAGCCAGGGAAGCGAACGGG